Molecule: long non-coding RNA, 360 nt
Filed under: Rattus norvegicus (Norway rat)
Lineage: Eukaryota; Metazoa; Chordata; Mammalia; Rodentia; Muridae
Description: long non-coding RNA NONRATT029908
Source: RNAcentral
AACAGAGCUGGCUGGAAGAGGCAGAGGCAGCGGAAGUACAGGAAGAGUCUCAGAUCAACAGAGCUCCGGGAAAGCGCAUGCUCCGGCUGUGGAGCGACCUGCAGGCUGUGCAUAGGUUCCCGGCCUUGUUGGUGAUACUAUUGGGGAGACGUAUAAGAUGUGACCUUGUUGGAGAAAGUAACCGUGAGCUUUGAGAGUUUAAAGACUGGUGCCAUUUUGAGCUCCCCCAAUCUGCUUCCUGUUUAUAGUUCACAAUGUAAGCUCUCCGCUUCUGCUCUUAGUAUGUAGUUCCUGCUGCCUCUGCUCCACCAUCCUGGACUCCCCUCCAGAACCCUAAUCCCAAUAAACUCUUUUUUCUAC